This 493-nucleotide long non-coding RNA is filed under the name Malus domestica (apple). RNAcentral's name for it is "long non-coding RNA (MDOM_LNC019537)". Lineage: Eukaryota; Viridiplantae; Streptophyta; Magnoliopsida; Rosales; Rosaceae. The record is from RNAcentral.
ACCAUGAGUUCACAUGUGACAUAAGUUUGAGAACUCCUUGUUGAUCGCGUUCAGUGAACUCAUUCUCUAUUGAGCACCUACGUACUUGUCUUUGAAGGAAAUUUUGUGAAAAACAUGUUCAUUUAAGCAACAUCUAUAGCAUGCAAUUAACAACUAAAAGGCGGAAUCAUGCUUGUAUGCACUUAAAAACAAAACAUUAACCAUGAAAUUCAAAGCCUAGUAGAUUGGUGAACCUUGACUCAACUUAAAACAACAUUUGUUAGUUGAGAAAUUAUACCUUUGUAGAUUCCUCUUUGCAUAAGCAAAGGCUAAUCACCCAAAGAGGGGGCCUUCAUUCCUUGCAUCUUAGAUCUAUGGAUUUGGAUGGAUGAAAUGGUUUUCCAAGUUCCCAAAAUUGAGAACCUCUAAGUCUCUUCACCAAGGUUAGAUUGGAGAAGAAAUGAGUGACCUUGGAGUAGUAGGAUUGCUAGCUAAACCCUCCAAGGAGCCCGGC